RNAcentral lists this ribosomal RNA (254 nucleotides) under uncultured bacterium. Its description in RNAcentral is "partial 16S ribosomal RNA". It matches the Rfam family "Bacterial small subunit ribosomal RNA", at positions 793 to 1055 of the family's 1533-position model. The record is from RNAcentral.
GUCCACGCCGUAAACGAUGGAUACUAGCUGUUGGGCGCAAGUUCAGUGGCUAAGCGAAAGUGAUAAGUAUCCCACCUGGGGAGUACGUUCGCAAGAAUGAAACUCAAAGGAAUUGACGGGGCCCGCACAAGCGGUGGAGCAUGUGGUUUAAUUCGAUGAUACGCGAGGAACCUUACCAAGGCUUAAAUGUAGUUUGACUGGUUUGGAAACAGAUCUUUCGCAAGACAAAUUACAAGGUGCUGCAUGGUUGUCGU